RNAcentral lists this unclassified non-coding RNA (184 nucleotides) under uncultured Sordariales. RNAcentral describes it as "sequence contains ITS2". Lineage: Eukaryota; Fungi; Ascomycota; Sordariomycetes; Sordariales. The record is from RNAcentral.
CAACCCUCAGAGCGGCCUCGGCCGCCCUGGUGUUGGGGCUUCCCCGGCCGUCACGCCGCGGGCCCCGAAAGUCAUCGGCGGUGUCUGCCAGCACUCCGGGCGCAGUAAAUAAAAUCUCGCCUUGGACGUCUGGCGGUGCCUGCCGCUAAACCAGCAAUGCCGAGAGGCGUCGCACACCCACAGG